Molecule: ribosomal RNA, 253 nt
Filed under: uncultured bacterium
Lineage: Bacteria
Description: partial 16S ribosomal RNA
Rfam family: Bacterial small subunit ribosomal RNA
Source: RNAcentral
UACGAAGGGGGCUAGCGUUGUUCGGAAUCACUGGGCGUAAAGCGCACGUAGGCGGAUUUUUAAGUCAGGGGUGAAAUCCCGAGGCUCAACCUCGGAACUGCCUUUGAUACUGGAGAUCUUGAGUCCGGAAGAGGUAAGUGGAACUGCGAGUGUAGAGGUGAAAUUCGUAGAUAUUCGCAAGAACACCAGUGGCGAAGGCGGCUCACUGGCCCGGUACUGACGCUGAGGUGCGAAAGCGUGGGGAGCAAACAAG